UACGUAGGGGGCAAGCGUUGUCCGGAUUUAUUGGGCGUAAAGAGCGUGUAGGCGGCCAGGUAGGUCGGUUGUGAAAACUCGAGGCUCAACCUCGAGAUGUCGACCGAAACCAUCUGGCUAGAGUCCGGAAGAGGAGAAUGGAAUUCCCGGUGUAGCGGUGAAAUGCGCAGAUAUCGGGAAGAACACCCGUGGCGAAGGCGGUUCUCUGGGCAAUAACUGACGCUGAGGAGCGAAAGCGUGGGGAGCGAACAGG
RNAcentral lists this ribosomal RNA (253 nucleotides) under uncultured bacterium. RNAcentral's name for it is "partial 16S ribosomal RNA". It matches the Rfam family "Bacterial small subunit ribosomal RNA", at positions 524 to 776 of the family's 1533-position model. The record is from RNAcentral.